This 434-nucleotide ribosomal RNA is filed under the name uncultured Fusibacter sp. RNAcentral describes it as "bacterial SSU rRNA". It matches the Rfam family "Bacterial small subunit ribosomal RNA", at positions 950 to 1382 of the family's 1533-position model. The record is from RNAcentral. Lineage: Bacteria; Bacillati; Bacillota; Clostridia; Eubacteriales; Fusibacteraceae.
UUCGAAGCAACGCGAAGAACCUUACCAGAUCUUGACAUCCAAUUGACCAUCUUUAAUCGAGAUUUUGCCUUCGGGUACAAUUGAGACAGGUGGUGCAUGGUUGUCGUCAGCUCGUGUCGUGAGAUGUUGGGUUAAGUCCCGCAACGAGCGCAACCCUUGUGUUUAGUUGCAAACAGGUCAAGCUGUGCACUCUAGACAGACUGCCGUGGACAACACGGAGGAAGGUGGGGAUGACGUCAAAUCAUCAUGCCCCUUAUGAUCUGGGCUACACACGUGCUACAAUGGCCGGUACAACGGGCAGCGAAGGAGCGAUCCGGAGCGAAUCCUAAAAAGCCGGUCCCAGUUCGGAUUGCAGGCUGAAACUCGCCUACAUGAAGUUGGAGUUGCUAGUAAUCGCGAAUCAGAAUGUCGCGGUGAAUGCGUUCCCGGGUCUU